This is a non-coding RNA of Echria macrotheca, 78 nucleotides long. NCBI's taxonomy places the organism in Eukaryota, Fungi, Ascomycota, Sordariomycetes, Sordariales, Schizotheciaceae. The record is from the annotation of a GenBank genome assembly.
GGUCCGCUGGCUCAAUGGCAGAGCGUCUGACUACGAUGGGUAAUCAGGAGGUUCCAGGUUCGACCCCUGGGUGGAUCG